RNAcentral lists this ribosomal RNA (217 nucleotides) under Escherichia coli. RNAcentral's name for it is "partial 16S ribosomal RNA". It matches the Rfam family "Bacterial small subunit ribosomal RNA", at positions 1 to 216 of the family's 1533-position model. Lineage: Bacteria; Pseudomonadati; Pseudomonadota; Gammaproteobacteria; Enterobacterales; Enterobacteriaceae. The record is from RNAcentral.
AAAUUGAAGAGUUUGAUCAUGGCUCAGAUUGAACGCUGGCGGCAGGCCUAACACAUGCAAGUCGAACGGUAACAGAAAGCAGCUUGCUGCUUUGCUGACGAGUGGCGGACGGGUGAGUAAUGUCUGGGAAACUGCCUGAUGGAGGGGGAUAACUACUGGAAACGGUAGCUAAUACCGCAUAACGUCGCAAGACCAAAGAGGGGGACCUUCGGGCCUC